GCGAAGCUUCAUUGAUUGACUAUAUUUCUGCCCAAUGACCACUGAUCUUCUUGAAAUCUAGCUGGGUAGAUAGCCAAUGAGCUGAGGUAAACGCCAGUAUGUAAUGGUUUUGGGUUGGACCACAAUUCUUUGUUUGUCAUCGCACGCACAGGGAACUCCAUUCUCGCCUUGACGAUCAGAGGAGUUGCUCUAAGGCUUUUUACGCGCAGCUGUAUUUCGGAAAGUUGUAGUUUCAACGAUUUCAUUGAAGACAUCAAGAAUUAAGAAUAAAUCAGGAAAAGCGAAGUCAAAGUCUAAAGUGAAAGUGAAAAAGUGAAAGUGAGACAGAUUUUUUGUUUGAGGAAUCUUGGAGUGUUAUGAUUCAAACGAACUGAGGAGCUGUUUCUGCAAGGACAGGACGUACUUCUGGAUGGUGAUAGCGACUCCGACUGGGAGCCCCCGGUGCCAAGCUGCCCGCUCUACCUCUGCCCCCAGUGGUGUUCAUAUGCCACAGUUCAUUACUGCAGGCAUGACUGUGCCUCAGGGCCAAAAGGUCACAGCAUGGAGGCGUUGUUGUGUUCAGUUUGCCUCUGAUUUACAUCAGAAAUAGACUGCUAUGGGACAUGGCACAGGCAGCAAAAUAUUGAGUCGGCGCUGUUUUUUUUUAAAUAUAUUUUUUCUAAUAUUUUUUGUAAUUGUUUUUGGAGUUUGUGUGUGUUAGAAUUGCUUUUUGAGAUGUUGUAUUUAGUUAUUUGCACUGUUGUAUAUAGUCAUAGGUCAUUUCACCAAUUCAGCCACUUGGUACAUUUGGGCAACUUGUGUGGGACACCUGGGUGACUUCAUGCUAAAUGUCAUGUAGCUCACCCAUUCCUGAAGUUAUAGUCUGAAACUUUGCACACCUACAGUUGCCCUCUUGUGUUAUCCAUCAAAAUUAUCAAAAUUAUCAAAAUAAUCAUCCUAUCUGACCGUGUGGCUAUUCCAGUACAUGUGAAAGAUGAUGCUACAACAAUAAAAAACAGACAACGUA
Long non-coding RNA from Oncorhynchus keta (chum salmon), 1006 nucleotides. RefSeq lists it as uncharacterized. Lineage: Eukaryota; Metazoa; Chordata; Actinopteri; Salmoniformes; Salmonidae. The transcript is spliced from 2 exons. The record is from RefSeq and is a predicted model, not a curated record.